UCCCUCCAUUGCCAUUAGUUCUUUGUCUAG
RNAcentral lists this non-coding RNA (30 nucleotides) under Mus musculus (house mouse). The record is from RNAcentral. Lineage: Eukaryota; Metazoa; Chordata; Mammalia; Rodentia; Muridae.